This 328-nucleotide ribosomal RNA is filed under the name Lactococcus lactis. Its description in RNAcentral is "bacterial SSU rRNA". It matches the Rfam family "Bacterial small subunit ribosomal RNA", at positions 161 to 475 of the family's 1533-position model. The record is from RNAcentral. Lineage: Bacteria; Bacillati; Bacillota; Bacilli; Lactobacillales; Streptococcaceae.
UGCUAAUACCGCAUAAAAACUUUAAACACAAGUUUUAAGUUUGAAAGAUGCAAUUGCAUCACUCAAAGAUGAUCCCGCGUUGUAUUAGCUAGUUGGUGAGGUAAAGGCUCACCAAGGCGAUGAUACAUAGCCGACCUGAGAGGGUGAUCGGCCACAUUGGGACUGAGACACGGCCCAAACUCCUACGGGAGGCAGCAGUAGGGAAUCUUCGGCAAUGGACGAAAGUCUGACCGAGCAACGCCGCGUGAGUGAAGAAGGUUUUCGGAUCGUAAAACUCUGUUGGUAGAGAAGAACGUUGGUGAGAAGUGGAAAGCUCAUCAAGGGACGG